GAUACUGUGCGUCUCUAUGGGUCCCUAUGGGUCCCUAUGGGGCGCUGUGGGUCCCUAUGGGUCCCUAUGGGUCCCUGUGGGAUCCCUAUGGGUCCCUAUGGGUCUCUAUGGGUCCCUAUGGGUCUCUAUGGUUCUCUAUGGGGUUAUGGCUCACUGUGGGAUACUGUGGGUCCCUAUGGGGUGCUGUGGGUUCCUAUGGGUCUCUAUGGGUCCCUAUGGGGUGCUGUGGGUCCCUAUGGGCCCCUAUGGGUCCCUAUGGGGUGCUGUGGGUCCCUAUAGGGCCCUAUGGGUCCCUAUGGGUCCCUGUGGGAUCCCUAUGGGCCCCUAUGGGUCCCUAUGGGGUGCUGUGGGUCCCUAUAGGGCCCUAUGGGUCCCUAUGGGUCCCUGUGGGAUCCCUAUGGGUCCCUAUGGGUCUCUAUGGGUCUCUA
Long non-coding RNA from Tympanuchus pallidicinctus (lesser prairie-chicken), 428 nucleotides. RefSeq lists it as uncharacterized. The transcript has 4 exons. The record is from RefSeq and is a predicted model, not a curated record. NCBI's taxonomy places the organism in Eukaryota, Metazoa, Chordata, Aves, Galliformes, Phasianidae.